This 23-nucleotide non-coding RNA is filed under the name Cricetulus griseus (Chinese hamster). The record is from RNAcentral. Lineage: Eukaryota; Metazoa; Chordata; Mammalia; Rodentia; Cricetidae.
GUGGAGAGGAACAAAUCUGAGUC